Long non-coding RNA from Chinchilla lanigera (long-tailed chinchilla), 615 nucleotides. RefSeq lists it as uncharacterized. The transcript is spliced from 3 exons. Lineage: Eukaryota; Metazoa; Chordata; Mammalia; Rodentia; Chinchillidae. The record is from RefSeq and is a predicted model, not a curated record.
ACCUGGGUUGAAACCAUGAAAGAUGCUUCCUUGAGCGGAGCCUAAAACUAGCCAAGGCAUCCUGGGGUAGACCUGGGACGAGAAAGGCAUUUGUUCCCUUUGCUGGUGGCCAUGCCGGGGUGUGUGUUUGAAUCUUCGGGACAUGACAGAGAUGGGGAAAAGAUCAAGAUGCCUAUUUCUCUUGCGUAGUGCAGUCCAUCCCUGCUGGACUCUGAGGACCACCCCCCAGCCUGCCAUCUAAGUGACCCACAUAAGAACAAGGCACAGCAGUCAAGAAAAGGAGUCCUUUCCACUCCUGGGAAUGCCGGGCAUUAGUCCUGAAGUUAAGGUUCCCAGGCCAGCACCAGAGAACUUGUUAGAAAGACACAUUCUCAGGCCUACCCCUACCUGUGAGAUGGAAACCGUCAAGCUAAAGCUUUCCUAAAGCAGUGGGUACUAUAGUAAGAGACCCAGUUUGAUGGCAACUUUCAGCCCUACCUCCCUGGGCAGCAGACUGAACUGACACAUGGAAGCCCACUGAUGCCAAGUCACCCAGCAUGGAGUAUCAGCUUCUAACCGGAAGGAUGUGGUAGGGAGGCACACGGGCUGGAUGUGCGUGGAGUAAUUCACAGGGAA